This is a small nuclear RNA of Jaculus jaculus (lesser Egyptian jerboa), 107 nucleotides long. The record is from Ensembl. NCBI's taxonomy places the organism in Eukaryota, Metazoa, Chordata, Mammalia, Rodentia, Dipodidae.
GAGCUCACUUCAGCAACACAUCCACUAAAAUUGAACCAAUACAGAGAAGAUUAACAUGGCCCCUGCACAGGAACUUCAUUAAACUCUUUAAGAAAGCGAUCUGUUCU